CCCUAAUCUAUGGAUUUCACAUGACUGGGAUUACAGAUAUGCAUCUGUUGGACACAGACGCCUUCUAAAAAAGGUAGGGGUGUGGAUCAGAAAACCAGUCCGUAUCUGGUGUGAGCACCAUUUGCCUCAUGCAGCCCGCCACAUCUUCACAGAGAGUUGAUCAGGCUGUUGAUCCACUCCUCUCCCAUAGGGCGGCCCACAAUUGGCCCAGUGUCGUCCGGGUUAUGGGUUGGCCGGCGUAGGCCGUCAUUGUAAAUAAGAAUUUGUUCUUAGCUGACUUGCCUAGAUAAAUAAACAAUUCAAUGGCUGUGUGAAUUUGCUGGAUAGCCCUGCUGGAAAAUCCAGCUUAGAACCGUAGCGGUGCGUGGUACAAUCACUGGCAUAACUCCCCCUCCCCUCAUGCCGUGCGACCGUGAGAUAUAGGCCUAAAGGCCAGGACAAUAAGAAGACACAGCGACAGAAUGAAUUCAACUAUACAUUUGUUUUAUUUUAUUUAAGUAGGCAAGUUAGUUCAGAACAAAAUCUUAUUUUACAAUGGCGGCUUACCCCCCCGGCCAAACCCUCCCGUAACCUAGAUGACGCUGGGCCAAUUGUGCGCCGCCGUAUGGGACUCCAGAUCACGGCCAGUUGUGAUACAGCCCGGGAUCGAACCAGGGUCUGUAGUGAUGCCUCUAGCACUGAGAUGCAGUGCCUUAGACUGCUGUGCCACUUGGAUAGCAACCUCUGUCCAGUGAAGUCCACAAAGCAUAUUGCAUGUACAGCAACAGAAAAUUACAUGACCUACAGCAUGGUCAAGCAAGUUAAUGUUUACGACAUUUUCGGACUACUAAACAACUAUUGAUUUAGAACCAUAGAGAGUUACCGCAAGUCACAAAGAAAACAGGAGCUUCCUCCACUAUUCCAGCACCAUUUCAACUUCAACAUUUCAUCCUCAUCAAAAUCACCUCGGCUUAGUCUAAUACAGUAACAACUAAAAUAUACCAAAAACAAUUUAGUCCAAUCAACAUCAGCUAAAUAUGAUGUGGGUGUCCAUGUUUCUGAUUUAUGUGUGUGUGUGUGUGCGUUCGCGCAAGUAGAAAAACAUGUUGACUCAUGAAACAGUCUAUCACUCUGUCAUACAGUACACACUUUUAUUAUUUGUUGUCCUAGGCUACCUGGUUAAAAUUAUUGCUGGCUAGCCUAACUUCCAAUCAUGGGCAAUGUUAGCUAGUUAACAUUAGCCUCCUACAUCUAAUUUCCAUCCUCUCGAGCCAGGGGCACAACAAUGUAUGAAUUAAUUGUUGGAUCAGAAUCGCCGUUAUAAUCAUUGGCCAGUAUGGAUCCCUAUCUCCAUCCAUCGUUCAUUUAGGAAAGGGCCAAUUUUAGUUAGCUGGCUAGCUAGCCAUCGGAGGACAACAACACAACAAGAUGCAACAAUUUAAGUUUUUCUGUCAAUGAUGUAUGCGCUCAAUGGGAUUUGAUCGGAACGACGCCAAAUCCAAGCUGGCUUCCCUUGACAAUUUUUUGGGGUGUGCCAGGACCAUUCACAUUUGAGCUUGCUUAGUUUAGCUCAACAAUGAUUGGCACAUUUUUUAUACUUUUUUUUAAUCAAGGGAGGCCAGAUGCUCGCUGGCUUCCCUUGCCUUCAACGCUACAGCCGGCAACAAUGUCAUACUGGUUUGGACCAGACAGCACCAGAUAGAUGGCCUACACGUAGAGACAGAGGGGCGCUGUUUCACUCGCUCAGAUCCUAUGAGAUACAUCAAAUCAAAUUGUAUUUGUCACAUGCGCCGAAUACAACAGGUGUAGGCCUUAAAGUGAAAUGCUUACUUACAAGCCCUUAACCAACAAUGCAGUUCAAGAAAGAGUUAAGAAAAUAUUUACUAAAUAAACUAAAGUAAAAAAUUAAAUCAAAAGUAACACAACAAAAUAUCAAUAACCAGGCUAUAUACAGGUUAAUGUAUACAUUAAGUCUCUUGCGAAUUAAAGGAAAAGUAUCUAUUCUAGGUAUUCUAUUGUUUACAAAAAUUAUUACAACGUCUGAUUGUUGUGGCUACUAAUCUUAGAUGUCAAAUUAGCCACUUGAUGCUUGAAUGAAUGUUGACUGCAUUGUACACACUUGGCAAACAGUCUUGGAGAGGAGGGCAGGGUUACCUGGUGUAUACUACAGGUGAGUCUUGGAGAGGAGGGCAGGGUUACCUGGUGUAUACUACAGGUGAGUCUUGGAGAGGUGGGGUAGGAUUACCUGGUAUAUACUACAGGUGAGUCUUGGAGAGGAGGGUAGGAUUACCUGGAAUAUACUACAAGUGAGUCUUGGAGAGGAGGGCAGGGUUACUUGGUAUAUACUACAAGUGAGUCUUGGAGAGGAGGGCAGGGUUACUUGGUAUAUACUACAAGUGAGUCUUGGAGAGGAGGGGUAGGAUUACCUGGUAUAUACUACAGGUGAGUCUUGGAGAGGAGGGUAGGAUUACCUGGUAUAUACUACAGGUGAGUCUUGGAGAGGAGGGUAGGAUUACCUGGUAUAUACUACAGGUGAGUCUUGGAGAGGACGGGUAGGAGUACCUGGUAUAUAUAGUACAGGUUAGUCUUGGAGAGGAGGGUAGGAUUACUUGGUAUAGUGCAGGAGACAAUGUCAUAAUUAUCCAAAUCUAGGGACAGGCCCGCUGGCCAAAAAACGGUUGAAUCAACGUUGUUUCCACAUCAUUGCAACCCCAAAAAUGUAUGUGAUGACAUUGAAUCAAUGUGGAAAACUAGUUGGAUUUGCAAAAAGUCAUCAAUGUAAGGGCAUUUAAUAUUUUUUUCACCCAACUUUUAACCUAAUUCCAAUGGCGGUAAAUAUUUUUUGUUGAUUUCACGCUAGUUGACAACUCAAUCAAAUGUAAAUCAAAACUACAUGUAAAAAUACUUACCUGGUGCACAAGUGUUCAGUUAAUGUUGGUUUGCCUGUAGAAUAAUAGGGGAGACAGUCCUUUCUUCUUGGUCCAAAAAUACUCCUGAUGAAGUCCCUGAUGAAAUGAUGUUCACUGAAGUAGUUUAAACCUAUACGGUUAUGUUUUCCAGAUCCAUAUUGCUUCUACAUCUGCAUUGCUUGAUGUUUGGGGGUUUAGGCUGGGUUUCUGUAUAGCACUUUGUGACAUAUGCUGAUGUAAAAAGGGCUUUAUAAAUACAUUUGAUUGAUUGGUUCAUAUUGGAGAGGGGGUUUUCAUCCAAAUGGUUGAAAAUAAAUUAUGCAAAUCAGAGAUUCCAAGUUUGUGAAACAAUUAUCAACUUCCAUCUGGGGUUCAGCAACCCUCAGCACCAGGACCCUGGAGGGAAAAGCCUUCCCCACAUUAAAAGCAGCUCCAAAACCUCCCCUGACUCCGAAGAAGUAUAAGGCCUUGAAAGAUAAUUAUAGCUAAUUACAACAUAUGUCUAUACUCUUUUUUUGUAUUGCAAGCUAGGCUUUAUUUAACUAGGCAAGUCAGUUAAGAACACAUUAUCAUUUACAAUGACGGCCUACCAAAAGGCAAAAGGCCUCCUGUGGGGACGGUCGCUGGCAUAAAGAAAAAUUAUAAUACAAAAACUAAAAUAUAUGUAGGUGUGGGAAAUGUGAUGACCUUGUGUCCAAGCAGGCUACACGUAGUUACUGUGUGUGUGUGGAAAACAUUUAACUUGUUUAUCUAGUGUAGUCGGUUUGUAACUUCACUCUCUACUUGUAGCUGUACAGUCGUGGCCAAAAGUUUUGAGAAUGAUUUCACAAAGUCUGCUGCCUCAGUUUGUAUGAUGGCAAUUUGCAUAUACUCCAGAAUGUUAUGAAGAGUGAUCAGAUGAAUUGCAAUUAAUUGCAAAGUCCCUCUUUGCCAUCAUGCAAAUGAACUGAAUCCCCCAAAAACAUUUCCACUGCACUUCAGCCCUGCCACAAAAGGACCAGCUGACAUCAUGUCAGUGAUUCUCUCGUUAACACAGGUGUGAGUGUUGACGAGGACAAGGCUGGAGAUCACUCUGUUAUGCUGAUUGAGUUUGAAUAACAAACUGGAAGCUUCAAAAGGAGGGUGGUGCUUGGAAUCAUUGUUCUUCCUCUGUCAACCAUGGUUACCUGCAAGGAAAGACGUGCCGUCAUCAUUGCUUUGCACAAAAAGGCCUUCACAGGCAAGGAUAUUGCUGCCAGUAAGAUUGCACUUAAAUCAACUAUUUAUCGGAUCAUCAAGAACUUCAAGGAGAGCGGUUCAAUUGUUGUGAAGACGGCUUCAGGGAGCCCAAGAAAGUCCAGCAAGCGCCAGGACCAUCUCCUAAAGUUGAUUCAGCUGCGGGAUCGGGGCACCACCAGUACAGAGCUUGCUCAGUAAUGGCAGCAGGCAGGUGUGAGUGCAUCUGCACGCACAGUGAGGCGAAGACUUUUGGAGGAUGGCCUGGUGUCAAGAAGGACAGCAAAGAAGCCACUUCUUUCCAGGAAAAACAUUCUUUACUCUCUUUUUUUCAAACUGAGUUUUUGUCCGCAUCUUGCAUGCCGCAGCUCUCACGACUUUUGCUCGAGCAUAGAAUGCACAGCCGUGAGAUUGGUUAUUAUGCCCGCGCUCAGAGGCUCCCUGUUCCGGACCAGCUCAGCCGAAUGCCCGGUCUCCAACUGAUGCCAGCCUCGAUGAUCAUGCUGAUAACUCCAUUACACUGGUAUGCCAUGAAGGUAAUUCCUUGGUUCAGGAAUGGAUAUACAGUACCAGUCAAAAGUUUGGACACACCUACUCAUUCCAGGGUUUUUCUUUAUUUUUUACUAUUUUCUACAUUGUAGAAUAGUAGUGAAGACAUCAUCACUAUGACAUAACACAUAUGGAAUCAUGUU
This 4795-nucleotide long non-coding RNA is filed under the name Salmo salar (Atlantic salmon). Its description in RNAcentral is "lncRNA (ENSSSAG00000106800.1, ENSSSAG00000121966.1)". Lineage: Eukaryota; Metazoa; Chordata; Actinopteri; Salmoniformes; Salmonidae. The record is from RNAcentral.